Molecule: ribosomal RNA, 1446 nt
Filed under: Limosilactobacillus fermentum
Lineage: Bacteria; Bacillati; Bacillota; Bacilli; Lactobacillales; Lactobacillaceae
Description: bacterial SSU rRNA
Rfam family: Bacterial small subunit ribosomal RNA
Source: RNAcentral
UGCAAGUCGAACGCGUUGGCCCAAUUGAUUGAUGGUGCUUGCACCUGAUUGAUUUUGGUCGCCAACGAGUGGCGGACGGGUGAGUAACACGUAGGUAACCUGCCCAGAAGCGGGGGACAACAUUUGGAAACAGAUGCUAAUACCGCAUAACAGCGUUGUUCGCAUGAACAACGCUUAAAAGAUGGCUUCUCGCUAUCACUUCUGGAUGGACCUGCGGUGCAUUAGCUUGUUGGUGGGGUAACGGCCUACCAAGGCGAUGAUGCAUAGCCGAGUUGAGAGACUGAUCGGCCACAAUGGGACUGAGACACGGCCCAUACUCCUACGGGAGGCAGCAGUAGGGAAUCUUCCACAAUGGGCGCAAGCCUGAUGGAGCAACACCGCGUGAGUGAAGAAGGGUUUCGGCUCGUAAAGCUCUGUUGUUAAAGAAGAACACGUAUGAGAGUAACUGUUCAUACGUUGACGGUAUUUAACCAGAAAGUCACGGCUAACUACGUGCCAGCAGCCGCGGUAAUACGUAGGUGGCAAGCGUUAUCCGGAUUUAUUGGGCGUAAAGAGAGUGCAGGCGGUUUUCUAAGUCUGAUGUGAAAGCCUUCGGCUUAACCGGAGAAGUGCAUCGGAAACUGGAUAACUUGAGUGCAGAAGAGGGUAGUGGAACUCCAUGUGUAGCGGUGGAAUGCGUAGAUAUAUGGAAGAACACCAGUGGCGAAAGGCGGCUACCUGGUCUGCAACUGACGCUGAGACUCGAAAGCAUGGGUAGCGAACAGGAUUAGAUACCCUGGUAGUCCAUGCCGUAAACGAUGAGUGCUAGGUGUUGGAGGGUUUCCGCCCUUCAGUGCCGGAGCUAACGCAUUAAGCACUCCGCCUGGGGAGUACGACCGCAAGGUUGAAACUCAAAGGAAUUGACGGGGGCCCGCACAAGCGGUGGAGCAUGUGGUUUAAUUCGAAGCUACGCGAAGAACCUUACCAGGUCUUGACAUCUUGCGCCAACCCUAGAGAUAGGGCGUUUCCUUCGGGAACGCAAUGACAGGUGGUGCAUGGUCGUCGUCAGCUCGUGUCGUGAGAUGUUGGGUUAAGUCCCGCAACGAGCGCAACCCUUGUUACUAGUUGCCAGCAUUAAGUUGGGCACUCUAGUGAGACUGCCGGUGACAAACCGGAGGAAGGUGGGGACGACGUCAGAUCAUCAUGCCCCUUAUGACCUGGGCUACACACGUGCUACAAUGGACGGUACAACGAGUCGCGAACUCGCGAGGGCAAGCAAAUCUCUUAAAACCGUUCUCAGUUCGGACUGCAGGCUGCAACUCGCCUGCACGAAGUCGGAAUCGCUAGUAAUCGCGGAUCAGCAUGCCGCGGUGAAUACGUUCCCGGGCCUUGUACACACCGCCCGUCACACCAUGAGAGUUUGUAACACCCAAAGUCGGUGGGGUAACCUUUUAGGAGCCAGCCGCC